GGAUCUGGGGAAGGCUGGUUGGGGGGUCUCUAGUUUCUCCACCAGGGGGCAUCCUGGGACCUUCUGGAGGGCGUGAACCUGGAGCUGCACACCUGCUGCCACUUACCAUUGUUUGGAGGGGUUUAUCAGGACGGAGUCGCCACACUCCAGUGCCAGAGUGUUAGCCUGUGAUGAUAAUAUCAUUGUAGCUCACCUCCGACCACCUGUUCUCCGAGUAACCUCCUUUUGUGCUGCCUUUCCUAGGUUGUCGUUCCGUGAAGCCCUGAGUUUCUUCAAACUUCUACGAACCUGGGCAGAUUACCAAAGAUCCUCGAGACCCCGCGGAGUCUACCCGUUGGUGGCCACGUCCCUGAGACCAGCUCUCAGUUCUGUCGGUGGCAGAUCCCUGGUCAAGCGGAUCCCUUCCGGCACCUUGUCUGAGAUCUCCCUCCACUCACCUGUCCGCCCUCUAGAGAAACUCACGCCCUCGUUCCAGCCUGCAGCUCCGGAUCCUAGCGGUUCACCUCUCCAUGCUCAGACGAGCUCACCAGCAAAUCCAGAACCACGCAGACGAGCACCAGUUCCGGACCUCCUUGUACAUACCUGUUAGCACUGUAUUUAAUAAACCACCAUAACCUUUA
This is a long non-coding RNA of Poecilia latipinna (sailfin molly), 620 nucleotides long. RefSeq lists it as uncharacterized. NCBI's taxonomy places the organism in Eukaryota, Metazoa, Chordata, Actinopteri, Cyprinodontiformes, Poeciliidae. The record is from RefSeq and is a predicted model, not a curated record. The transcript has 2 exons.